GGCAGGAUAGAGAAGUGGAAUCUCACAAGGCUCAUAUCCUUGAGAACGGCGGUUCAAAUCCGUCUCCUGCAA
This 72-nucleotide transfer RNA is filed under the name Caudoviricetes sp. Its description in RNAcentral is "tRNA-Met". It matches the Rfam family "tRNA". Rfam says of the family: Transfer RNA (tRNA) molecules are approximately 80 nucleotides in length. Their secondary structure includes four short double-helical elements and three loops (D, anti-codon, and T loops). The record is from RNAcentral. Lineage: Duplodnaviria; Heunggongvirae; Uroviricota; Caudoviricetes.